Molecule: long non-coding RNA, 390 nt
Filed under: Olea europaea (common olive)
Lineage: Eukaryota; Viridiplantae; Streptophyta; Magnoliopsida; Lamiales; Oleaceae
Description: long non-coding RNA (OEUR_LNC014620)
Source: RNAcentral
AAAACCUAGAUUUCAAAUUGCAACUCCAGUAGAAGAAAUCACCACUCAAAGGUAAGCAUUUACUUGAAAAAUUCAAUUCACAAUUUAGGUGAAGCUCACCGUGCGAGGAGGCCAAAAGGAGGUCUCCGCCUACAUACACGAAGGAGCACCCUAGAAAGCCUUCGUGUAUGGGGGCCACUGGCCCCCAUGCAUGGGGCAAAACGGAGGGCGUGCACGGGGGGGCCAUAUGCCCUGCAUGGAGGCUAUUUCAUGGAGGGCUAUUUCUUCCGUGGCCCUUCGUACACAGAGGCUUUACUAACUUAUUUUUUUAAUCUAAAAAAUGUUGCCCUUUUAUUUUUUUUAUAAAUUUAUUUUUAAAACUCGUAAAUGAUAUGAUUGCACUCAUUUGAG